Molecule: ribosomal RNA, 1276 nt
Filed under: Lactobacillus sp.
Lineage: Bacteria; Bacillati; Bacillota; Bacilli; Lactobacillales; Lactobacillaceae
Description: bacterial SSU rRNA
Rfam family: Bacterial small subunit ribosomal RNA
Source: RNAcentral
CCAACUGAUUGAACGUGCUUGCACGGACUUGACGUUGGUUUACCAGCGAGUGGCGGACGGGUGAGUAACACGUAGGUAACCUGCCCCAAAGCGGGGGAUAACAUUUGGAAACAGAUGCUAAUACCGCAUAACAAUUUGAAUCGCAUGAUUCAAAUUUAAAAGAUGGCUUCGGCUAUCACUUUGGGAUGGACCUGCGGCGCAUUAGCUUGUUGGUAGGGUAACGGCCUACCAAGGCUGUGAUGCGUAGCCGAGUUGAGAGACUGAUCGGCCACAAUGGAACUGAGACACGGUCCAUACUCCUACGGGAGGCAGCAGUAGGGAAUCUUCCACAAUGGGCGCAAGCCUGAUGGAGCAACACCGCGUGAGUGAAGAAGGGUUUCGGCUCGUAAAGCUCUGUUGUUAGAGAAGAACGUGCGUGAGAGCAACUGUUCACGCAGUGACGGUAUCUAACCAGAAAGUCACGGCUAACUACGUGCCAGCAGCCGCGGUAAUACGUAGGUGGCAAGCGUUAUCCGGAUUUAUUGGGCGUAAAGCGAGCGCAGGCGGUUUGAUAAGUCUGAUGUGAAAGCCUUUGGCUUAACCAAAGAAGUGCAUCGGAAACUGUCAGACUUGAGUGCAGAAGAGGACAGUGGAACUCCAUGUGUAGCGGUGGAAUGCGUAGAUAUAUGGAAGAACACCAGUGGCGAAGGCGGCUGUCUGGUCUGCAACUGACGCUGAGGCUCGAAAGCAUGGGUAGCGAACAGGAUUAGAUACCCUGGUAGUCCAUGCCGUAAACGAUGAGUGCUAGGUGUUGGAGGGUUUCCGCCCUUCAGUGCCGCAGCUAACGCAUUAAGCACUCCGCCUGGGGAGUACGACCGCAAGGUUGAAACUCAAAGGAAUUGACGGGGGCCCGCACAAGCGGUGGAGCAUGUGGUUUAAUUCGAAGCUACGCGAAGAACCUUACCAGGUCUUGACAUCUUGCGCCAACCCUAGAGAUAGGGCGUUUCCUUCGGGAACGCAAUGACAGGUGGUGCAUGGUCGUCGUCAGCUCGUGUCGUGAGAUGUUGGGUUAAGUCCCGCAACGAGCGCAACCCUUGUUACUAGUUGCCAGCAUUCAGUUGGGCACUCUAGUGAGACUGCCGGUGACAAACCGGAGGAAAGGUGGGGACGACGUCAGAUCAUCAUGCCCCUUAUGACCUGGGCUACACACGUGCUACAAUGGACGGUACAACGAGUCGCGAACUCGCGAGGGCAAGCUAAUCUCUUAAAACCGUUCUCAGUUCGGACUGCAGGCUGC